CCCUGUGACUCCAAUUUCCUUUUCUUCUGCUUCAAUUCUAGUUCUACGUUUAAGUACGUUGGUUAAAUCUUUAACGUUUCCGAAAGUUCUUUUCCAGAAGCACUUCUCAAGUGCUUAUUCAAACAAAAAGCACAUUGGUCCUGCCUAAAGAGUACCUAAAUUGGUUGGGUUUUGUUUUGUGUGUGUGUGUGUGUGUGUAAAUAUAAGAGGUGAUGAAAUGGAGGGCGUGACAAAAUGACUGUUACACGAUGACUGUCGAGGUGAAUAAUCUAAAUUUAUGCAAAAUGCUUUUGUUGUUAGAUUCCUAGUUUUCACCGAAGAAGCAGCAAACACAUAAAUAAUAUCAAAAAAUGGUUAAAUUAUAAGGACACUUUUUUUUUUUACGUUAAACCCAAAUAUAUAUAUAUAUAUAUAUAUAUAUAUAUAUAUAUAUUUGCAUGUAUAUAUGUAUACUCUUAUGAAAUGUGUUUCCAUACAUAUAGUGGAUUCUUUUAAUAACCAAUUACAAUGGUACCAUACACAUAUAGCUAAGGAGAGCAGCAACUUUGAUUAGAGAAGUGGGUUAAUAAAAGGAAAUUAUUCGAAAUUGACAACACCGCAACUCUUAUAAAUAAUGGUGACUGGAUCGACUCUGGACCACUCCUCUAAUUUUAUUUAUUUAUUUAUUAUUAUUAUUUUGUUGUUGUUGUUGUACGAUUUCAUCAUCACUUUUAAUUUUGUGUUUGCUGCUGCAAUUUGACAGAUCGAGUAGAUCCGCCAAAUUUGUGUGGUGGCCCCCAUUUCGAUUGAUGAUUGAAGGGUGUGGAUAUAAAGGCAGGAAUGGUUUUGGUCGAUUGUCGUAAUCAAACGGUCAAAUGCGCGGUGCGGUAUGUAAAAGAAAAAAAAAUAAUUUACGGUAACUUUUUCGAUCAGAUUUGUGAUGAUUUUUACGAUUGAGUUCAAAAUGAACUAGAUGUAUUUCAAAUAUUUAGAAAACAAAAAUUGACUCUGUGGUGUAUUUAUAUAUAGGACAAACUAUUUAGUAAGUAUUUGUGUCCACUAUAUAAUGAGCAUCGGCACUGAACACAUAAUAGAAUUUUAUAACUCACAAUGAAUAGUAUUGAAGUUGUAAAUUAAUCAUACAAUGUGGUAAUAGUGUCGCUCAUCAUAAGGUAAACAUUGUCGCUCACUACAAUCAAUACUCUUAAUAUAAAUAUACGCAGGAGACUCUUUACUACCAAACAAGAAUACUCUAAUUAAUGACCCAUUUGAAAUUACUUAUAAGUAGAUUCAAAAAUUAUUUUGAAACACUUAAAAGCCAUUUUUGGCAUUUAGUAAUUUUUUUAAAAAAUCAUUUUUGCCAAAAUUAUCUAUCUUACAACAGAUUUUGAUAAGUAUGGAAGGAAUAACUUUUUAAAAUUUAUUUUUGAGAAUUUAUUUUUAUAUUUAAUACAAUUUCACGUAAAUUAUAAAAAUCUAAAAUUAUUCAUAUUCAAUUGGAAAAUAAAAUCAUUAAUUAAAUAGAUUAUUAUUAUUUUAUCAAUUAUAUUGAGAUAAUUAUAACAUAAAAAAAUAACACGAAUAAAAUGAAAAUAUUUAUUUUACCUAAUCAAUUAUUAUAUAUAAAUGUAUAAAUAAACUUUAUUCAAGUACAGAUGAUUGCUUCUAAGACUUGCAACACUUUUAAAAAUAAAUUUCACUAAAUAUUUAACUGAAUCUUUUAACAGCUGAUUAUUUUUAUAGCACAACUAAUAACAAUUAUUUUAAAAGUUACAACAUUACCAAACUGGUCCUAAGCCUUUAGGGUUAUGUUAUAUAAUUUCUAUAUAAAUUAUAGGACGUUUUAUUAUUUUUGUGGAAGAUUGCCAUACGAGUUGAAGUGGGUGUUCAAAAGAUGCUCCGAAAUUAAGAUAACCUAUCCUAAAUCUUGAAAUUAAUACGAUAUCUCUUUCAUAAUUGUUUAAGUUUAUCUUUUCUUGGUUGGCUAGAAAGGCAUCAAAAUCUUGAACUUCUGCUUCGUAGCACCACCAAUGGCUCCCUGGCAAUGAUGUAACACCUUGUUUUCAACUAUUUGGGCGCAUCUAUAAGUAAAUAUUAGUGUUUUUUUUUUUAAUUUAUCAGAAACAAUUUCUUUUUUUUUUUUUUUUUUGGUUGUAUGUGCAACUCGUGUACUUGCGCUUUGUGUGUUAUAAAACAUUUGUAACACCGAACGACAAUGUUGUUACCAAUAAUUAAAAAAAAAAAAAUUCGUACAAAUAACGGAAAAGCUAUGGUAAUUGUUAGUAAUUUAUUGAUGCUAUCUUACGACCCUAGACUCUUCCUUGUAAUUAACUCAACACUACAAUUAAUGACGACCGUGGCCUAAAUUGGCUCUUAAAAUUGGAGAAAAUUACUCAAAAUAAAUUGUGAACAAAUUUUAAGUCAAGUGCAACUAGCAGAAAGUUGGCGAAGGUUGGUUUUGAGGUUGCAUGUUUUGAGGCUGCAGCCACCCUAUCAAGGAAUGUUUUACAACAGCUGAAGUUAAAACUUAGUUACU
RNAcentral lists this long non-coding RNA (2515 nucleotides) under Citrus maxima (pomelo). RNAcentral describes it as "long non-coding RNA (CMAX_LNC003188)". Lineage: Eukaryota; Viridiplantae; Streptophyta; Magnoliopsida; Sapindales; Rutaceae. The record is from RNAcentral.